AAAUUGAAGAGUUUGAUCAUGGCUCAGAUUGAACGCUGGCGGCAGGCCUAACACAUGCAAGUCGAACGGUAACAGGAAACAGCUUGCUGUUUCGCUGACGAGUGGCGGACGGGUGAGUAAUGUCUGGGAAACUGCCUGAUGGAGGGGGAUAACUACUGGAAACGGUAGCUAAUACCGCAUAACGUCGCAAGACCAAAGAGGGGGACCUUCGGGCCUCUUGCCAUCGGAUGUGCCCAGAUGGGAUUAGCUAGUA
This 253-nucleotide ribosomal RNA is filed under the name Escherichia coli. Its description in RNAcentral is "partial 16S ribosomal RNA". It matches the Rfam family "Bacterial small subunit ribosomal RNA", at positions 1 to 250 of the family's 1533-position model. Lineage: Bacteria; Pseudomonadati; Pseudomonadota; Gammaproteobacteria; Enterobacterales; Enterobacteriaceae. RNAcentral also lists the same sequence under 1 other name. The record is from RNAcentral.